CCCUCGCUACAACCUAAGGGGGCCCCCCAAAAUCCAAAAUCCUAAAAUCUACAAAACCCCCCCCAAAAAUUUGGGGGAACACCAAAAAAUCGGGAGGGACCCCCAAAGAAAACAGGAGGGGCCCCAAAAAUCAGAGGGACCCCAAAAAAUACAGGGCGACCCCCAAAAAUCCCCCAAAUUUUCCACCGAGGCCUUGGGACCCCCAAAUUUAUCCUGAGGGAUCAAAUUUGGGUGGAACCCCAAAAAAUUAGAAUUUUUUUUUUUUUUUUUGCCCAAAAUCCCAAAAUUUUGGUCGUUUUGGGGUUUUUUUUGAGCUGGAUUUUAAAUGGGGACGCCAAAAUUUGUCACCAGGGGUGACAAACUUUGGGAUCAUUUCCCAUCACUUUGGGAUAAUUUCCCAUCAUUUUGGGGUCAUUUCACGCAAUUUUGGGGUCGUUCCUCAUUUUGGGGUCACUCCCCAUCACUCCGGGGUGGUCCCCCACCGUUUUGGGGUCAUUUCUCAUCAUUUUGGGGUCGUUCCUGACCGCUUUGGCCUCCUUGCCACCACCCCAGUGGUCACUCCCUCAAUGUCCAGCAGGGUCCAGUGGUCACUCCCCACCACUUUGGGGUCAUUUCCCACCACUUUGGGGUCAUUUCCCACCACUUUGGGGUCAUUUCCCACCAUUUUGGGGUCGUUCUGACCACUUUGGGGGUCACUCUGUGGUCACUCUGGCCACCACCCCAGUGGUCACUCUCUCGAUGUCCAGCAGGGUCCAGCGGUCACUCCCCACCACUUUGGGGGUCACUUUGUGCCACUCUGGGGGUCACUUCGUGGUCACUCUGGGGUCACUUCGUGGUCACUCUGGUGGUCACUCCGUGGUCACUCUGGUGGUCACUUUGUGCCACUCUGGGGUCACUUUGUGGUCACUCUGGUGGUCACUCCGUGGUCACUCUGGUGGUCACUUUGUGGUCACCCUGGUGGUCACUCCGUGGUCACCUCGCCCUCCACACCCCCCCCCCUCACUCCCCUCCCUCCACCCCCGCCCCUCCCCCACCCCUGGGAGAGAACCCAGCGCCCCUCCC
This 1062-nucleotide long non-coding RNA is filed under the name Camarhynchus parvulus. Its description in RNAcentral is "lncRNA (ENSCPVG00000016919.1)". The record is from RNAcentral. Lineage: Eukaryota; Metazoa; Chordata; Aves; Passeriformes; Thraupidae.